Molecule: long non-coding RNA, 588 nt
Organism: Macadamia integrifolia
Lineage: Eukaryota; Viridiplantae; Streptophyta; Magnoliopsida; Proteales; Proteaceae
Exons: 4
Source: RefSeq, a predicted model, not a curated record
UGUGCACUCACAGCUCUUGGCAAAAAAGGAGCGAUCCAAAUCAUUAUCAGUGUUUGGGAGUUUGGUUUCUCCAAAGCUCCGGGGUGCCCAGCAUUCAUUUGAGACAGCCUUGGAGAUAGUUCUCGAAAUAGCAAACAGGCGGUCUUUGAUGUUAUCUGCCUUUGCUCAAGUCCGGAAAGAAAUGGAAUGUAACUUGGAUUGAUAUACAUCUUUUCUGAUCGUCAGAAUUGGCCAAUAUGAUCCACUUAAUGACACUGAUUUUUCUCUCAACACUCGAACCUGUCAAACAGAUUGGGUUUUAAAUCCAUCAUCAGGGACUUGUGGCUUCAUGUGUCUCCUUAUGUCCCUCCCUUUCCUGUUGGUACAAAGUGAUUUUUUUUUGGUAGGACAAAGUGGAUUCGCAUGUGCUUGAUUCUUGUUGCUCAUCGUCCAAUACAGCAAAAAGCAGGAGACUGUUAAUUGGCCUAUUGACUCAUAAUUUAAUAAUGUUGCUUAUCAAAAAGGCAAAAAAUAAUUAUGUCAUUUCGUUAUUCCUUUAAAAUGAAGUGGGUGGUCAAUGAGACUAAACUCUGCCCAGCCUUAUCUCAA